This is a long non-coding RNA of Astatotilapia calliptera (eastern happy), 2436 nucleotides long. The record is from Ensembl. Lineage: Eukaryota; Metazoa; Chordata; Actinopteri; Cichliformes; Cichlidae.
CAAACUGCCAGUUUUCUUGCCAGAAAUCGAACUUUAAAGCUCGACUUACAGAAAGUUCAGCCGUCAAAGUAUUCAGUGAAAAAUGAUUUACCGUACUUUAAGUGAAUAUGAAACACAAACAGAGAUGAAUUUCCCCGACGCACUAUUUAUAAAGCUUCCUGUAAAUGCUGUACAUGAGAAUAUCAGUAUUAUUUUAAGAAGGUGGGAUGCUUUCAAAUACAUUUUUAACCAGUUCUGACAGAUGUUGGUGCCAGUGUUUACCCUUCCAGGGACUGUUCACAUGGGCAGAAAGGGAUUAUUGACUGAUUAUUGAUGUAGCUUUCCUUUCAAAAUGCCAUGAAGGUUUCUGUUCUAACUUAAGGAAAAGUCAAAGUGCAGAGAGAUGGGAUGUUUGAUACCUUGUAUGACACAUUUAAGUUAGUUUUUCAUAAACACUGAAAACAUGGGGAAAGCUAACCGGCUCUGUCCAAAGAAAACACCACCUAUCAGCACCGAAGCAUUCAUCCUGUUUCUGUGUUUAGUACAGGAACAGCUUUGUUAGACAGAGCUCACUUAUUGCUAACAGUCGCUUUGCUGCACCAAGCUGGCUGCCUUUCAUAUUUAGCUUUGUUCCAUGUUUUUCUCUUCUUCUCAGAAAUACUUAAGGGCAAAGAAGAGAACUAACUAAAGAGCAUGCGCAUAUAAAAUAGACGGUACAACACUCAGGUCAAAGGACCAAAAUUAUUCAUAAUACAUGUAAAAUGUGUUUUUACUUUAGCCUCACUUUUACCGUGACUUUUCGUUAACCUGUGAAAAGAAAGAAAUGCAAUCCGAUAUCAGCACACCGCUAUAAAUCCUUGUCCUGUGAAGCUUUCUGUUUGUGUUUGUUAUUGAGGUCAUAGAGGGCAGUGAUGUGGGAAGGAAGGGAGGCAGCCUAUGUAGCCUACACGUCCUCACUGCCUGAAACCUCCAUAAUCAGGUAAAAUCAUAAGAACCUUUGAGGAAUGUCAGCAAAGAAUCUAAAUGAUGAGUUGUUAGCAGAACUGCUGUGUUAGAUUGCAUUCGCGUUCACAGGUGAGCCUAAUAACUAAAGCUGCAUUAGUUGACUUUUGACCACUAGGGACCAGACAAACUCAAAAACAAAUUAUCUUUAACUUUUAGACACAUUAAAUAUUCUCCCCGUGCAAUGAAGUCCGACUUAUUUUAGCUCAGGAGUCCCCGCCAUCUCUCACUGUCUUCACCACCCAGCUGUUUGUUCCAGCUGUGCUUUUAGCUUUUUUAUGAAGAGCUAAAACAAUGUAAUCUGUCAGUACUGAGCUUGGAAAAUUGAUCUACCCUUUCACAGUCUGCCAAUACAGAGCCAUGUCAUUCAGUUUUAAUAUGAAAAUUGCUUAAUGGCCCUUGGAGCUCGUUCGAUCCUUUCAUGAUUAGCCUGAACGAGGUUCUCUGGUACGUGUUACGUUUGCAGGAACAAAGCUUUGUUGUAAGUACAAUAAGCUGGAAUUUAAAAAAAGACUUACUGUAUGUGGAACAUCUUUCUUUCCAGAGUAUUCUCUAAAUGGCUUUUUUAUUAAGGUGGAAAAAGGUUUUGGAGAGAGAAAGCUAUUUAUUUAUAAGUGGAUUUCCUUGCAACCACCAUGCAUCUGACUGCAAUAGCAAAAGGCACAGAUUUGUGUUUUCAGCAAAGAAAUAGCUUGCAACUAUCCACACUCAGUCCUGUGUGCCAAUGUAUAGAACAUGUAUAUAGCAUUGAGUGCAUAAAUAUUUAUUGAAAGUUAAAGGGUUCUGCUUUGUUGUCGCAGCGUGUGCAGCAGCCGGCCGAUAAGCUGCAUUGGAUAAACCAUUGAAAACUGAUCACCUCUUUCUCCGGUCAUAUUUUCACAUUGGAAGCAGAUUUGUGCUUGUUAACAAACACAGUAGACUAGAAAUGACAUUGUUUUUGCAAACAAUUAGAUGUAAAUAUACAUGCUCAAUUUUGAGAUGUUUUACUUGUCAGAAAGCUGUUUUUUCACAGCUGUUUUGUAGAAGUCUUUAUCCGAGUCGUUGCAACGCAGCAGCGUGAACUGACCAGACAGAUGCUUUAUUUUAACCGAUAAAACAUGAAUAGCGUAGUACCAGUAAAGCUGUUUUAUGCUGUUUGUAGUUGGCAGUAUUUUCAUUUUCCUCCCAGUUCUUUUCACAUCAUUUACUUGCUGCCUAUAAACACUGCUGCUAAUGCUAUAGAGAGCUUGUAAUGAUAACUAGAGUAGCCGUAGAUGUUACUUUGACAAUCCCUGAGCCUCAGACAGCUGUUAUUGCAUAGGAUUUUCCAUGUACUGUAUCAAUACCCCUGUGCUGUCCAUGCAUUGAAGUAUUGGAUUGUCAUGAACGCAAGUCACUCUGUUCUAUUUGCUUUACUAUGUAUUUGUGUAGAUUGAAGUGUACACUACUGAUGCUGUUUGUUGUAAUGGGGAGCAC